RNAcentral lists this ribosomal RNA (559 nucleotides) under Bacillus toyonensis. RNAcentral's name for it is "bacterial SSU rRNA". It matches the Rfam family "Bacterial small subunit ribosomal RNA", at positions 367 to 917 of the family's 1533-position model. The record is from RNAcentral. Lineage: Bacteria; Bacillati; Bacillota; Bacilli; Caryophanales; Bacillaceae.
GGGUAAAGGUAGAAGUCUGACGGAGCACGCCGCGUGAGUGAUGAAGGCUUUCGGGUCGUAAAACUCUGUUGUUAGGGAAGAACAAGUGCUAGUUGAAUAAGCUGGCACCUUGACGGUACCUAACCAGAAAGCCACGGCUAACUACGUGCCAGCAGCCGCGGUAAUACGUAGGUGGCAAGCGUUAUCCGGAAUUAUUGGGCGUAAAGCGCGCGCAGGUGGUUUCUUAAGUCUGAUGUGAAAGCCCACGGCUCAACCGUGGAGGGUCAUUGGAAACUGGGAGACUUGAGUGCAGAAGAGGAAAGUGGAAUUCCAUGUGUAGCGGUGAAAUGCGUAGAGAUAUGGAGGAACACCAGUGGCGAAGGCGACUUUCUGGUCUGUAACUGACACUGAGGCGCGAAAGCGUGGGGAGCAAACAGGAUUAGAUACCCUGGUAGUCCACGCCKUAWACGAUGAGUGCUAAGUGUUAGAGGGUUUCCGCCCUUUAGUGCUGAAGUUAACGCAUUAAGCACUCCGCCUGGGGAGUACGGCCGCAAGGCUGAAACUCAAAGGAAUUGACGGA